RNAcentral lists this ribosomal RNA (527 nucleotides) under uncultured bacterium. RNAcentral's name for it is "partial 16S ribosomal RNA". It matches the Rfam family "Bacterial small subunit ribosomal RNA", at positions 355 to 898 of the family's 1533-position model. The record is from RNAcentral.
UGGGGAAUAUUGCACAAUGGGCGAAAGCCUGAUGCAGCAACGCCGCGUGAGUGAUGAAGGUCUUCGGAUUGUAAAGCUCCGUCUUUUGGGACGAUAAUGACGGUACCAAAGGAGGAAGCCACGGCUAACUACGUGCCAGCAGCCGCGGUAAUACGUAGGUGGCGAGCGUUGUCCGGAUUUACUGGGCGUAAAGGGUGCGUAGGCGGAUGUUUAAGUGAGAUGUGAAAUACCCGGGCUUAACUUGGGUGCUGCAUUUCAAACUGGAUAUCUAGAGUGCAGGAGAGGAGAAUGGAAUUCCUAGUGUAGCGGUGAAAUGCGUAGAGAUUAGGAAGAACACCAGUGGCGAAGGCGAUUCUCUGGACUGUAACUGACGCUGAGGCACGAAAGCGUGGGUAGCAAACAGGAUUAGAUACCCUGGUAGUCCACGCCGUAAACGAUGAGUACUAGGUGUAGGAGGUAUCGACCCCUUCUGUGCCGCAGUAAACACAUUAAGUACUCCGCCUGGGAAGUACGAUCGCAAGAUUAAA